AGGCAACAGUGCUAACCACUAAGACACCGUGCUGCCAAAGUAUCUUAGUGCCACACCUCCCAGGUGGAUGGAUCAUCUUAGCAUUGGUGAAGUCCUCACAAAAAUUCAAGGAAAACAAACAUUUUCUAUGCACAGAGGAAACCUCAGACGUUUUACUUCAAUUAAUGAAAAAUGUGAACAACAAAAAAAAAGACCUGCAUUUAUAUUUUUGUUGAGUAUAUUUAUUUAUUUCUUGUUUAUGAAUGUGUAAAAGCUUGAUAGUUUCUUUUUAAGUGUUAAACAUUUUUGUCACAUUUAUGACAUGGUGCACAGCUGCCGAGGAGUGUCAGCUUCGGAAGGAGAUUGAAAUCAAAAGCAAAUCAGUGAAAAUAUUUAUGUAAUAUUUAUUCAACGGAGGCAUGAUAUGACAAAUCUCAUCUGUGCUCGUGACGCUGUCACCUAUGCAGUGAUUACUGAACUUGAUGUGAACGUAGUUAAAUUGUGUCAUGUACAACAGUGUAUUUUUGGAGAUUACGUAGCUGUCAUUUUUUUCCCCCAUAUUUUUAAUAUUUGCUUUUGGAAAUCCCACAAGCUUCAUACAAAUGUGCAUCGUGUUCUGUGGUUGUAGGUGGCGUAUGUUGAAAAUUAUCCCAGUCAUCUCCCACCAGCGGGUGUGACACGAUUGACUGAGUCAGCUUAUUUUGUGUAUUAUCACAUGUGAGACGUCAUUGUGUAAUUUGACAUCAUCAGUAGAGUUAUGCUACAGGAUGAAACUCCCACACAUUUUGAUUUGAUCAUCAAAAGCCUGUAAUGUGUAAAUGAAUAUGUUGAUUGUAAAAGCACAAUUUGAACAAACAUUGUUCUCAAUUGA
Molecule: long non-coding RNA, 850 nt
Organism: Thalassophryne amazonica
Lineage: Eukaryota; Metazoa; Chordata; Actinopteri; Batrachoidiformes; Batrachoididae
Exons: 3
Source: RefSeq, a predicted model, not a curated record